RNAcentral lists this ribosomal RNA (238 nucleotides) under Staphylococcus aureus. RNAcentral's name for it is "partial 23S ribosomal RNA". It matches the Rfam family "Bacterial large subunit ribosomal RNA", at positions 1919 to 2156 of the family's 2925-position model. Lineage: Bacteria; Bacillati; Bacillota; Bacilli; Caryophanales; Staphylococcaceae. The record is from RNAcentral.
CCCAGUAAACGGCGGCCGUAACUAUAACGGUCCUAAGGUAGCGAAAUUCCUUGUCGGGUAAGUUCCGACCCGCACGAAAGGCGUAACGAUUUGGGCACUGUCUCAACGAGAGACUCGGUGAAAUCAUAGUACCUGUGAAGAUGCAGGUUACCCGCGACAGGACGGAAAGACCCCGUGGAGCUUUACUGUAGCCUGAUAUUGAAAUUCGGCACAGCUUGUACAGGAUAGGUAGGAGCCU